AGUCGAACGAGAAUCUACUGAAAGAGUUUUCGGACGAUGGAAGUAGAGGAAAGUGGCGGACGGGUGAGUAACGCGUGAGGAACCUGCCUUGAAGAGGGGGACAACAGUUGGAAACGACUGCUAAUACCGCAUGAAGCAUAGAGGUCGCAUGAUCUUUAUGCCAAAGAUUUAUCGCUUCAAGAUGGCCUCGCGUCUGAUUAGCUGGUUGGCGGGGUAACGGCCCACCAAGGCGACGAUCAGUAGCCGGACUGAGAGGUUGAACGGCCACAUUGGGACUGAGAUACGGCCCAGACUCCUACGGGAGGCAGCAGUGGGGAAUAUUGGGCAAUGGGCGCAAGCCUGACCCAGCAACGCCGCGUGAAGGAAGAAGGCUUUCGGGUUGUAAACUUCUUUUAAGAGGGAAGAGCAGAAGACGGUACCUCUAGAAUAAGCCACGGCUAACUACGUGCCAGCAGCCGCGGUAAUACGUAGGUGGC
This 476-nucleotide ribosomal RNA is filed under the name uncultured bacterium. RNAcentral describes it as "bacterial SSU rRNA". It matches the Rfam family "Bacterial small subunit ribosomal RNA", at positions 60 to 535 of the family's 1533-position model. The record is from RNAcentral.